GGAUCCAGACUUUGAUUCUGGCUCAGGACGAACGCUGGCGGCGUGCCUAACACAUGCAAGUCGAACGGAACUGUUUUGAAAGAUUUCUUCGGAAUGAAUUUGAUUUAGUUUAGUGGCGGACGGGUGAGUAACGCGUGAGUAACCUGCCUUCAAGAGGGGGAUAACAUUCUGAAAAGAAUGCUAAUACCGCAUGACAUAUCGGAAUCACAUGAUUUUGAUAUCAAAGAUUUUAUCGCUUGAAGAUGGACUCGCGUCCGAUUAGUUAGUUGGUGAGGUAACGGCUCACCAAGACCGCGAUCGGUAGCCGGACUGAGAGGUUGAACGGCCACAUUGGGACUGAGACACGGCCCAGACUCCUACGGGAGGCAGCAGUGGGGGAUAUUGCGCAAUGGGGGCAACCCUGACGCAGCAACGCCGCGUGAAGGAUGAAGGUUUUCGGAUUGUAAACUUCUUUUAUUAAGGACGAAACUUGACGGUACUUAAUGAAUAAGCUCCGGCUAACUACGUGCCAGCAGCCGCGGUAAUACGUAGGGAGCAAGCGUUGUCCGGAUUUACUGGGUGUAAAGGGUGCGUAGGCGGCUUUGCAAGUCAGAUGUGAAAUCUAUGGGCUCAACCCAUAAACUGCAUUUGAAACUGUAGAGCUUGAGUGAAGUAGAGGCAGGCGGAAUUCCCCGUGUAGCGGUGAAAUGCGUAGAGAUGGGGAGGAACACCAGUGGCGAAGGCGGCCUGCUGGGCUUUAACUGACGCUGAGGCACGAAAGCGUGGGUAGCAAACAGGAUUAGAUACCCUGGUAGUCCACGCUGUAAACGAUGAUUACUAGGUGUGGGGGGUCUGACCCCUUCCGUGCCGGAGUUAACACAAUAAGUAAUCCACCUGGGGAGUACGGCCGCAAGGUUGCAACUCAAAUGAAUUGACGG
RNAcentral lists this ribosomal RNA (917 nucleotides) under uncultured Bacillota bacterium. Its description in RNAcentral is "bacterial SSU rRNA". It matches the Rfam family "Bacterial small subunit ribosomal RNA", at positions 1 to 916 of the family's 1533-position model. Lineage: Bacteria; Bacillati; Bacillota. The record is from RNAcentral.